UAGAUGGCUCAGUUGGUUGAGCUUGAGACUUCGAAUCACUGGGUUGUGGGUUCAAGCCCCACAUUGGGCAAAA
Podarcis lilfordi (Lilford's wall lizard) is the source of this 73-nucleotide non-coding RNA. The record is from the annotation of a GenBank genome assembly. Lineage: Eukaryota; Metazoa; Chordata; Lepidosauria; Squamata; Lacertidae.